UAAUAGAAAGCAUUUAAAUGUAUGUGGUUUCGGCCCACAAGAAGAGGCCCACCCUCUCUAUUAU
This 64-nucleotide transfer RNA is filed under the name Nucula nucleus. RNAcentral describes it as "tRNA-Arg". The record is from RNAcentral. Lineage: Eukaryota; Metazoa; Mollusca; Bivalvia; Nuculida; Nuculidae.